Molecule: ribosomal RNA, 253 nt
Filed under: uncultured bacterium
Lineage: Bacteria
Description: partial 16S ribosomal RNA
Rfam family: Bacterial small subunit ribosomal RNA
Source: RNAcentral
UACGUAGGGUGCAAGCGUUGUCCGGAAUUAUUGGGCGUAAAGAGCUUGUAGGCGGUUUGUCGCGUCUGCUGUGAAAUUUCGGGGCUCAACCCCGAACUUGCAGUGGGUACGGGCAGACUAGAGUGUGGUAGGGGAGACUGGAAUUCCCGGUGUAGCGGUGAAAUGCGCAGAUAUCGGGAGGAACACCAGUAGCGAAGGCGGCACUCUGGGCCGGAACUGACGCUGAGGAGCGAAAGCGUGGGGAGCGAACAGG